GGGAAGGGGCAGGACAGGUGAAGUUUACCACAGGAGCCAAGGCCUUGAACCCACCAGCAAGGGUUCUUGCUGGAACUCGCAGUAUCUCAUCAUGGUUAGAUGGUGAGAUCUCGCCUGAGGAGAGUGGGGUGGCAGCAGGAGACAGCUCACAAAAGGAACUCCACAAUGUUUGUUUCUGAUGCUCCUGGGGCUGUUGUCAGCAUGGAUAAGAAAUCCAGAAGACCUCAGAAGAGAUGCCAAGGGAUGACUUUGAGCUCGUGUCUUUGCUGCGUAUCUAGACUCUCUUGGAGAACUAGCAGGUUUGAAAAGUUGGUUCUAGAUGAGAACACCUUCUUAUUCACUGCUGAAGCAAUACAUGCUGGCUGCAACCAUGCCUCGCCUAACAGCAAAAGAAUGUUCAGAAGCAUGCCCGGCUAAUUGAAACUACAGGGGGCAUUUAAUUAUUCCUGACAGACUCAGAGGGCCAUCCACAAGAACUAGGAUUACCGUGAGGAAUGCAAAAGUCUGGUAGUUUCCCAGGCCGUGGGCGUGAGGCUAUCAUGAGAACUUCUCCAAUGUUGGUAAGUUUUGGAAAAUCGGCCUCACAGAUCGAUGGAAGCAGCAAAAGCGUAGUCCUUUUCCAUCUAGGCCCUUUGAGUCGGAGGCAAGUUACACAGCGUAUUUCAAGAUAUUGCUUUGAAAGAUAUUCCUCAUCUGGCUCACCGACGAUUUUAAAUGAGAUCAUUUGCUACAUUUGAUCAUCUUUGCUUAUUUCAAUUUAAUCAGUUUUUAAAAAAAAAUAAUUUCUAGAAAGCAAAUAGCUUAAGUUAGCCAUCAGUCUCCUAUUUAGGCAGAAGUGUUUGCAAAAAGUGGAUCUUGCGAAGAAGCCAGAAUUCAGGAUCUGUGUAGGCAGGUGUGAGUGAGAGCUUGGAAUAUACCGGUGAAGUCUAAAUUGAAUGUUCUUUUAAUCUUUCCACCACCCGCUGGAAGCUGGGGCCUAUUCCAUGUCCAAGACUUGGUCUAAAUGAGGGAAGAGAUGUUAUGGAGCAAAAUAGCCUACUUGGACAUUGCUCACAUUCUGGUUACUGGCACAGGGAAGUCAGGCCAUAAAUAUUACAAGCAAUAGCGAUGAUUUAACACAAAAACGUUGUCUUCAGAUUUCUACAUAUUUUCCCCGCUAACCUUAAGAAAUAACCUUUUAGGGCACCUGGGUGGCUCAGUGGUUGAAUGUCUGCCUUUGGCUCAGGGCCUGAUACUAGGGUCCUGGGGUUGAGUCCUGCAUCGGGCUCCUUGCAGAGAGCCUGCUUCUCCCUCUGCCUGUG
RNAcentral lists this long non-coding RNA (1301 nucleotides) under Vulpes vulpes (red fox). Its description in RNAcentral is "lncRNA (ENSVVUG00000030037.1)". The record is from RNAcentral. Lineage: Eukaryota; Metazoa; Chordata; Mammalia; Carnivora; Canidae.